Molecule: non-coding RNA, 74 nt
Organism: Pangasianodon gigas (Mekong giant catfish)
Lineage: Eukaryota; Metazoa; Chordata; Actinopteri; Siluriformes; Pangasiidae
Source: the annotation of a GenBank genome assembly
CGAGCGAGUCGCUGCGAGACACAGAGACACUGAGACGCGUUUAUCUGAGCUGCUGGGCUCUGAGAGGGACAGAG